RNAcentral lists this ribosomal RNA (1007 nucleotides) under Metridia okhotensis. RNAcentral describes it as "SSU rRNA". It matches the Rfam family "Eukaryotic small subunit ribosomal RNA", at positions 723 to 1754 of the family's 1831-position model. Lineage: Eukaryota; Metazoa; Arthropoda; Copepoda; Calanoida; Metridinidae. The record is from RNAcentral.
UAAUCGAGUGUCUAGGGAUGCUGACAGGUUUACUUUGAAAAAAUUAGAGUGCUCAAAGCAGGCUAUUACGCUUGAAUAUUAGUGCAUGGAAUAAUAGAAUAGGAAGUUGUUUCUAUUUGGUGGUUUUCGGAAAUCGACUUAAUGAUUAAUAGGGACAGUCGGGGGCAUUUGUAUUCAAACGACAGAGGUGAAAUUCUUGGACCGUUUGAAGACAAACUACUGCGAAGGCAUUUGCCAAGAAUGUUUUCAUUAAUCAAGAACGAAAGUUAGAGGUUCGAAGGCGAUUAGAUACCGCCCUAGUUCUAACCAUAAACGAUGCCAGCUAGCGAUCUGAGGACGUUUUUUUUGUAGACUCCUCAGGAAGCUUCCGGGAAACCAAAGCGUGUGGGUUCCGGGGGAAGUAUGGUUGCAAAGCUGAAACUUAAAGGAAUUGACGGAAGGGCACCACCAGGAGUGGAGCCUGCGGCUUAAUUUGACUCAACACGGGAAAUCUCACCAGGCCCGGACACUGGAAGGAUUGACAGAUUGAGAGCUCUUUCUCGAUUCGGUGGGUGGUGGUGCAUGGCCGUUCUUAGUUGGUGGAGUGAUUUGUCUGGUUAAUUCCGAUAACGAACGAGACUCUGUCCUGCUAAAUAGUGUCAGCCUCUCUUUUGGGCUGACAAUUCUUCUUAGAGGGACUGGCGGCUCCUAGCCGCACGAGAUAGAGCAAUAACAGGUCUGUGAUGCCCUUAGAUGUUCUGGGCAGCACGCGCGCUACACUGAAUAGAUCAGCGUGUUCUCCCUUUCUGAGAAGAACGGGUAAACCGCUGAACCCUAUUCGUGGUAGGGAUCGGGGCUUGCAAUUAUUCCCCGUGAACCAGGAAUUCCCAGUAGGCGCGAGUCAUAAGCUCGCGUCGAUUACGUCCCUGCCCUUUGUACACACCGCCCGUCGCUACUACCGAUUGAACGUUUUAGUGAGGUCCACGGACUGUUUGCAGAGCGGAUUAUUCUGCCUUGCUGGCGGGAAG